RNAcentral lists this ribosomal RNA (512 nucleotides) under Arielulus cuprosus (Cooppery sprite). RNAcentral's name for it is "partial 12S ribosomal RNA". It matches the Rfam family "Bacterial small subunit ribosomal RNA", at positions 875 to 1520 of the family's 1533-position model. Lineage: Eukaryota; Metazoa; Chordata; Mammalia; Chiroptera; Vespertilionidae. The record is from RNAcentral.
GCCUACAACAUAGAAAAUUAUAMACAAAAUAUUCGCCAGAGUACUACUAGCAAAVGCUAAAAACUCAADGACUUGGCGGUGCCUUAUAUCCAUCUAGAGGAGCCUGUUCUGUAAUHGAUAACCCCGAUAUACCUCACCAACCCUUGCUUAAUCAGCCUAUAUACCGCCAUCUUCAGAAAACCCUAAAAAGGAAUCAUAGUAAGCACAAGCACAAACAUAAAAACGUUAGGUCAAGGUGUAGCCUAUGGGUUGGAAAGAAAUGGGCUACAUUCCUCGAAUCGAGGAACAUUUUACGAAAACCUAUGUGAAAACAACAGUUAAAGGUGGAUUUAGUAGUAAAUUGAGAAUAGAGUGCUUAAUUGAAUAAGGCUAUGAGGCACGCACACACCGCCCGUCACCCUCCUCAAACAAAAAAAUGUWAASCACUAUAUUAAAACUUAGACAUCAACCCGUAAGAGGAGAUAAGUCGUAACAAGGUAAGUGUACUGGAAAGUGCACUUGGAUAACACAAA